Molecule: unclassified non-coding RNA, 229 nt
Filed under: plant metagenome
Description: partial contains small subunit ribosomal RNA, internal transcribed spacer 1, and 5.8S ribosomal RNA
Source: RNAcentral
UCUCCGUAGGUGAACCUGCGGAGGGAUCAUUACAGGGUUCAUGCCCUACCGGGUAGAUCUCCCACCCUAUGUUAUUAUUACUUUGUUGCCUUGGCGGGCCGUUAGGCUCCGGCCCGACUACCGGCCCCGGCUGGUAAGCGCCCGCCAGAGGACCCAAAACCCUGAAUAUUAGUGUCGUCUGAGUACUAUAUAAUAGUUAAAACUUUCAACAACGGAUCUCUUGGUUCUG